This 250-nucleotide unclassified non-coding RNA is filed under the name Hevea brasiliensis (rubber tree). Lineage: Eukaryota; Viridiplantae; Streptophyta; Magnoliopsida; Malpighiales; Euphorbiaceae. The record is from RNAcentral.
GAUCAUGCUAGUUCUACGCGUGGUUGCACUGUAUUUUCACGAAUUGUAGUUCCUGUGGUAAUGAAUCCAUGUGCCAGAUGGACAGUCGGGUUGAAUCUCUGGACAACAACAGAACCUUAGUUGGUAGAGCUGAUGUUUCUUAUAGGAAAACUGUAAAUGUAUCUCCUUCGAAACACAUCUUUGUUGAUCCAUGACCCAAGAUUUCCUUCAACUUUACGGAUAGCCAAAGUGUACCCAAGUCAAAUAUUUG